This 396-nucleotide long non-coding RNA is filed under the name Anas platyrhynchos platyrhynchos (common mallard). Its description in RNAcentral is "lncRNA (ENSAPLG00000028620.1)". The record is from RNAcentral. Lineage: Eukaryota; Metazoa; Chordata; Aves; Anseriformes; Anatidae.
AUGCUGGGGCCUGGUGAGGAUCGGGGCUGUGUGCCUGCUGCCAUGCUCUGCCCUCGGUUGUGCUGGGCACUGCACUCUACUUCUGGCCUGGCACUGCGUGAACCUGGGGAGCUUUGGGGGAUGUAUUGUAGUGAGCUGGGAGACACAGACAGGCACUGCCAAAAUGCUGAGCACCCAGAGCCAGACACACAUGGACGUGACCACGCCAUGGGCAGAGCACGGGCAAGGCUCACGCUCGGCAGGAUUUCCUCUCCGUGCUAUCUCCUCACUGUGUCUUGCGAGUCUGCAAGGAAAUGUGUCGCCAAUAAUCAGCUGUCUCCAAACAGUUCAGCAUUGCUGGGGCGUUUGUGCUGGCUGCGGGUGGAAGGACUGAUCUUGGAAGGAAACUCCAUGUGA